RNAcentral lists this ribosomal RNA (310 nucleotides) under uncultured Vibrio sp. Its description in RNAcentral is "bacterial SSU rRNA". It matches the Rfam family "Bacterial small subunit ribosomal RNA", at positions 30 to 334 of the family's 1533-position model. The record is from RNAcentral. Lineage: Bacteria; Pseudomonadati; Pseudomonadota; Gammaproteobacteria; Vibrionales; Vibrionaceae.
AUUGAACGCUGGCGGCAGGCCUAACACAUGCAAGUCGAGCGGAAACGAGAAGUAGCUUGCUACUUCGGCGUCGAGCGGCGGACGGGUGAGUAAUGCCUAGGAAGUUGCCCAGUAGAGGGGGAUAACCAUUGGAAACGAUGGCUAAUACCGCAUAAUCUCUUUGGAGCAAAGCAGGGGACCUUCGGGCCUUGUGCUAUUGGAUACGCCUAGGUGGGAUUAGCUAGUUGGUGAGGUAAUGGCUCACCAAGGCGACGAUCCCUAGCUGGUCUGAGAGGAUGAUCAGCCACACUGGAACUGAGACACGGUCCAG